RNAcentral lists this ribosomal RNA (1108 nucleotides) under uncultured organism. Its description in RNAcentral is "bacterial SSU rRNA". It matches the Rfam family "Bacterial small subunit ribosomal RNA", at positions 237 to 1375 of the family's 1533-position model. The record is from RNAcentral.
CCCAUCAGCUAGUUGGCGGGGUAACGGCCCACCAAGGCAGAGACGGGUAGGGGGUGUGAGAGCAUGGCCCCCCACAAUGGGACUGGAACACGGCCCAUACUCCUACGGGAGGCAGCAGCAGGGAAUAUUGCACAAUGGACGGAAGUCUGAUGCAGCGACGCCGCGUGGAUGAAGAAGGCCCUCGGGUUGUAAAAUCCUUUACAGGGGGAAGAGGAAGGACGGUACCCCUGGAACAAGUGUCGGCUAACUACGUGCCAGCAGCCGCGGUAAGACGUAGGACACAAGCGUUAUCCGGAUUUACUGGGCGUAAAGCGUCUGCAGGCGGACAGGUAAGUUGGGCGUGAAAGCUCCGGGCCCAACCCGGGAGAGGUCGUUCAAUACUGCGUGUCUAGAGGGUGUCAGAGGGGAGUGGAAUUUCCGGAGUAGCGGUAAAAUGCGCAGAGAUCGGAAAGAACACCAAUGGCGAAGGCAGCUCCCUGGGGCAACCCUGACGCUAAGAGACGAAAGCUAGGGGAGCGAACAGGAUUAGAGACCCUGGUAGUCCUAGCCCUAAACGAUGGAUGCUGGAUGUGGGGCCAUAGCGCUCCGUGUCGAAGCGAACGCGUUAAGCAUCCCGCCUGGGGACUACGGCCGCAAGGUUAAAACUCAAACGAAUUGACGGGACCCCGCACAAGCAGCGGAGCGUGUGGUUUAAUUCGAUGCUACACGAAGAACCUUACCUGGGUUUGACAUCUAGGUGGUAGUGAAGCGAAAGCGGAGCGACCCUUCGGGGAGCCUAGACAGGUGCUGCAUGGCUGUCGUCAGCUCGUGCCGUGAGGUGUCGGGUUAAGUCCCGUAACGAGCGCAACCCUUGCCCUCCGUUAUACGUGUCAGAGGGGACUGCCGGCGGUAAGCCGGAGGAAGGUGGGGAUGACGUCAAGUCAGCAUGGCCUUUAUAUCCAGGGCUACACACACGCUACAAUGGCCAGUACAAAGGGCAGCGAAGCCGCGAGGUGGAGCGAAUCCCAGCAAAGCUGGUCGUAGUUCGGAUUGCAGGCUGCAACCCGCCUGCAUGAAGCUGGAGUUGCUAGUAACCGCGCGUCAGCCAUAGUGCGGUGAAUACGUUCCC